Molecule: unclassified non-coding RNA, 298 nt
Filed under: rhizosphere metagenome
Description: partial ribosomal RNA internal transcribed spacer region
Source: RNAcentral
GUUGGUGAACCUGCGGAAGGAUCAUUAUUGAAUGAACUUGGUGUGGUUGUUGCUGGCCCUUUCGGGGGCAUGUGCACACCCAUCAUCCUCAUCUCUCCACCUGUGCACCUCUUGUAGACUUGGAUUGACUUUCCGAGGCAACUCGGUCGGGAGGACUUGCUGGCAUUAGCUGGCUUUCCUUGCAUUUCCAAGUCUAUGUUUUUUCAUAUACCCCAUUGAAUGUAACAGAAUGUAACAUAUUGGGCCUUUGUGCCUAUAAAAACUUAUACAACUUUCAGCAACGGAUCUCUUGGCUCUC